Molecule: long non-coding RNA, 2163 nt
Organism: Catharus ustulatus (Swainson's thrush)
Lineage: Eukaryota; Metazoa; Chordata; Aves; Passeriformes; Turdidae
Exons: 5
Source: RefSeq, a predicted model, not a curated record
UCCUCACAUGCCUGUGAUGAGAUGACUGGCAGCAGCUAUCCAGGUGGGGAAGGGUUGUAUCAGAGCCUGCUUCCCUCAGAGCUGCCAGGUUUCACCUGCUUCCUGGGAUGCAGGAGGGUCCCACAGCUCUGGGUGUUCAGAGUGGAUUGGCAGCUGGAUGGGUCAGGAAACCUGCAAGUGGAAGGAGAUUUGUAAAUCUCCCAUUCAAUUUUCUCCUGCAUUUUGAUGGCAUAUGGGGUUUGGAGAUUUUGGGGAACUGGCAGAAGAAGAAAGAGGUGAGAGAGGUUACACCAUCAUUUUCUACAAAUAAGGCAUUUCCAUGAUGAUACUGAACACAACAAGAGGUGGAAAUUUGUCUCUUGCUGCUGAUCCUGACCCUUUUGCUUUUGGAAAAAACACCAGCUCCUCCUCUGCUUGAGUUCCCAUAGAAGUGAAAUGAGCUGCUGCCACCAGAACAAAUGUUUACAUUGUCUCUGUGCAAGCCACACACUCCGAUGACAGGAAGAAGUUGUGGCCACCCAGCCUAACACCCAGGCUCAUGUCAGCACAUUCACCUGCAAUUCAGGAACUUGUGCUCCUGAAUCCUCCACACUUUUAAGAUGGUUAAAGAACGGAGGAAAUAACCAAGCUGAUCCUAAACCUGCCGGAAUAUCUUAAAGGAUUGUGGACAAACCAUUGUGUCUCAAGUCUUGUAAAAAGUCACCCCUGGAUUUAGCCAUUUGGGGAAGAAUUGAUGAAUCUUCUUCAUGCUAAAAUGUCUUCACAAGGGAAUCACAUCACAACCUUUAAAGGACAAGUGUCGCUUCCUUGCGCAAGUGUGCUCUCAGCCUUGCUCUUCAAAGUUCAGAUCAAGUGAUGCUGCCAAGAUGUAUCCUUCUGUGGCAAAUAAUUCACAGAUGCCAGCUCGUUGGAGAAUCCAAAAGCUUUGUCUUAUGCCAGGGUAACUUCAGCAGUAUUUUCCAGAGCUGUGGAUUAAGUUUGCUGAAGCAAAAAAAUGACGAUGUGUCUGAUCUAUUUCAGCGGCGCUGCCAGACGUGAAGAUGAUUCAUCAGUGUUCCCUCUUUAAUAGUGACUAUCUCCAGUGGGCAGUAAAGAAUGACCAAACUGACUAUCAGAUGGCAAGGAGCACAAGUUGGAACAGCAUUUGCCUUGCUCACUUUGUACUCGAUUGUGUAUCCAGGCGUUCCUGUCUAGACUUGCAGGGGUUGCUCGAGCAUUUAAUUACUUGAAUCCCAAUGAGCUGAAACUGCUUGGUUCAGGAGAUAGCAUAAUAAAGGCAUUCUCCUGAGGUGGCUAUAUCAAUUUUUUAAGCUUUACUGAUGAGCUAGAAAUAGUCACAGAUUUUAAAUGUUGACAUUGAUUAUAUUCAAAAAGCAUGGGAAAAAUGAGCUUACAUUUUCUGCUACGCCCGUGCUCCUUCAGGAGCAGCAAAAGAAGGGAAUGUGGACUUUACAUGGAACUACCUAAUUUUCUGUCCUACUAUACAUCAGCUUUGGCCACUGUUGCACCAAACUACACCAUACAGUGGUCCCAAAAGGGAACAGUGGUGCUAAGCCCUCCCACUCCUCUAUCACUGUGUAACCACAUCAAGGAAUGGGAGAAAUGACUUCACAUGAGCUCAAGUUUUUCAGUGCCUGAAGUAAUCUGACUAGCGGUGUCUUGCCAAUAUCAAGGUGGCAAGAUGGAUCAGACUAGCUAAGAGACUCAGGGAAGAGGGAAAUGUAAAAUAUUGCAAACUUGGAUUCUGCAUUUCACAAGUAUUUGAGGAAAUAUGAAUGUCUUCCAGGUUUGUGUGUGAGUGGGGUAUCUGGUAUCCAACUAAGCAUACAGCAACCUUGUGUCAGGUAAUAAUUGUAAUUGUAAAUGAGACAAUUGUCUCAAAUUUGCUCCUUCACAAUCUUCGUAUGGGAUUUUUCAGUGCUUUUUGUUUGUUGGUUUGUUUGUUGGGUUUUUUUAAUAGCUUUUCCCAUAGACAGGGUGAAGGUUUCCCAUGUGGUAGAAGAAAAAGGGCAUGGACUUGGCAUGCAAAUCCAACUGGAGAAAAACUUUGCCAAAGAAGUCCAGGUAGUUCAGUGACUCAUGUAAAAUAUAGCUUGACAUUUGAGCAUGCAAGAUGAUUUGUGGCAUGUGGCUUAAACAACUCACAAUUUUUUUAUGUCUCUU